Long non-coding RNA from Xiphophorus couchianus (Monterrey platyfish), 2522 nucleotides. RefSeq lists it as uncharacterized. The record is from RefSeq and is a predicted model, not a curated record. NCBI's taxonomy places the organism in Eukaryota, Metazoa, Chordata, Actinopteri, Cyprinodontiformes, Poeciliidae. The transcript is spliced from 4 exons.
AAAUAACCUGCCAUUUUAAUGAAUAUUAAUGAAUAAUUUAUUUAAAACCAGCUGCUAUAUGUUGCUGAAAAGUUACAGGAAGUUUCAUCUCAUUUCAACUGAACUAAGAUAUUCGUCCUCAAAUCUAAACCAAACUGACGUGCUAAGAUUUUCUGUUUUUGCAGAGAAUGACCAAAACCAUCGAGGAAACACACUUCAAAUACGUUGAUCAGUUAGGGCUGUACACCCGAUCAAUAUCAGUAGAUAAUAUAUCUGAUAGAAUAGUCAAUAUUCAGAAUAUUCACUGAACUGCACUGCACUCUGGGAGAUGUAGGCAGAGGAAAAGCUUUAGCCGCUCAGCCUCUCACAGCCAGCUAAGCUAGCUAAGCUAAUCAACAACUCUGUCACUUUGCGGUUGCCUAGCAACAACCUGCUGAGUGAUAAGCAGUUUCAAGCUCCCCCUAACUUUGGUUGCCUAGCAGCAACCUGCUGAGUAGCGUGGCAGCAGCGCUUUAAGGUUUUCCCAUCGCGCCUCAUAACUGCUAAAAAAUAAAAACUGGAUAAAACAGGACAGACUGCCAAUAUUUCAGAUAAUAAAAAAUCAAUAAUUAUCAAUAGACUGAUAUGAAACGCUUAUAUUGUAGAUACGUUGUUCAGCUGUAUCGUCCAGCCUUUAUUUCAUUUACUACGAAUCAAAAGGAACUUUAAACUUGUCGGUUUUUAGCCUUGAUUUGAAGAAGCUCUGCGUUUCGGAUGUUUCGCAGUUUUCUGGAAGUUUGGAUAAGCAGCAGAUGUCAGGUUGAUUUUUUUAGGUGGUAAUCAAUGAGAUUAAAGAUAAAAGCUUGGAUGAGUUUCUCUAGAUAUUUCUGAGACAUUUGUUGUUUAAUGCUGGAAAUAUUGUCAGAACCGAUUUUAACUUAUGGUCUAUUUAUGGAUGUAAGAGUCAGGAAGAUGACCGUCAUCAUGGGCUUCUGGAAGGGUUAGUACCUCCUGUUACGACCCAAUACCAACAGUUACAUGACGACCUUCAGAGGUGAGUUUACCUCACAAGGUGAUGUGCUUUUCCCUCUUGCCUGGAAAACCUUCCCCAUUCUGAGAGGGAAUGGGAUGGUGCAAACGUUUUUCAGCAUCAGUAAAGGAAACUUUUUACGCUUCUUAUCUAGGAGGCUCAAACAUACUCAGUUAUGAUUUUGCUCAAAUCAUUUUUUGCGUGUUUGUUCUUACUGCUAACUAAAAGUGACCACAAUAAGACUUCUGUGUGAAUGGUUUACGACCCGAAGCGACGAAACCCAGGAAACCCUCUACACAGCAAAUUCAAAAGUGUUAGAUUCCAGUGUUGGUGUUGUAUGUUAAAAAUAACAAGUGUGUUAAUUCAACAUUUUUAGUCUAAUUCAACAACAUGAGUGUUAGUUUCCCUUCAGAGUUGGUUAUUCCAGAGUUAAAUUUAAGCAGCUCCUGCAGAUCCAACGUAUCUGUGACGUCACAUGUUUGCCCAAAGAGCAGGAACAGCAGCAUGUCUGGAUUAUCGUAACAAGGUAGGUUCCAUUUGAAGAUUAUAAUAUGUUUGAUUAUUUUUUAUGGAUGCAUUAAUUUUCGAGUCAUAUACAUGGGUCGCUUAACGUAAGUUUAUUUGUUUGGAUAUCACUGUAUAUGCGAAUGUUUAGUGCAGUCCAGUCCUCCUACCAUCCUGCAACUUUCAGGUGCUUCCCUGCUCCAACACACCUGAAUCAAAUGAUCGGCUCGUUAGCAGGUCUGUUCAGAGCUGAUCCAGGUCUGUUGGAGUAAAGAUGCAGCUAAGCUGCAGGGCGGUUGCUCUCGAGGACUGGACCUGAGCUCCCCUGGUUUAGGAUUUUUGUUAGCAGCCAAGCAGGUGCAGCACGAGAUGUCGGGUGAUUAGCCGAACAUUAAAACUGUCAGAAAAAUUUGAAGGCCGUUUGAGUUAACAUUAUUUGCAUCAUGUUGGUGACUGAAACCUGUUAUGAUGACUUCAACACAUUUCUUCAGAAAGAACUUUUAAUGCUGUCCAGAGUAUUUCUGUGGUGAAAACGUUCUCCAGGCUAAACCGAGUGGUCAGUACUUUGAACGAAUAUGAUGGUGACACACUGGCUGGGAAAAACAGGCCUUCUUCUGUCGGUUCAUGUGAUUCUUCCUUCGUCUAAAAGCCACAAGAAGAAUUAAAACGGCCCAUGUCAAACCGAGGACCAUGUUGUCGGGUAUGUGCAGCAUUUUGUCAAAGAUGGCAGCCGGUGCUGAAGCCUUCCUUAUUGGUUGGAACCAGAACAGCCCUUCCUCCUGCAUGUUGGUGAAAACAAGAGCAGCACCAAAGACACUUGUGAUCACCAUCAGUGAUCACAAGACCAUCCCUGACCAUCAUGGCUGCUUUCCAUGAACUUUCAAAGCACACUUGCUGUUGGUGAUGGAAGGCCGACUUUGUAACCGUCUCUAUGUGGCUGUGAAUGUUCAGAUCCAAGUCCGCCCAGGUUUGGAUCUCUGGUUGCCAGCUGUAACUGGAGCUGUGCUGACUCCCGUCAGUCUUACCCCGC